RNAcentral lists this long non-coding RNA (1347 nucleotides) under Capra hircus (goat). RNAcentral describes it as "lncRNA (ENSCHIG00010017530.1)". Lineage: Eukaryota; Metazoa; Chordata; Mammalia; Artiodactyla; Bovidae. The record is from RNAcentral.
ACACAAGAAGACUGAGUUCCAUCGAGGCUCUGACAUGCCUCAGCCCAGAAGUGCAGGGCUGAGAGCAGGAAAGCGGUGCCCACUGCCUGGUCACAUCCAGGGAAGUCCUACUCAGACCCUCCCUCCCUUAGACACAAGACAGCGGGCUUCCCCCAACAGAUUCACUUGGAGACCUAACCUGCUCCCACAAGAGCAAAGCCUUUGCUUUCUAAUUAUAGUCUCCCCAAAUAGAAAAAGACCAUGUCAGAGGAGUUCUUUCCAAGGGAAAGAAUUACAGACGGUUUAGUCCAGAAACAGUAUUUUCACUGAAGAGCAAAAUGCAUUGUGGAGAGACAAGGUGACCACAUACAGUCACGGACAUUUAAGACCCUCAGAAUUCAUGAGUUACUGCUCCACCCCAUGAAGCGUAAACAGAAGAGAGCUCAGCGCGUGAUGGAGACACACCAGCUUUGCCCUCUGUGUCCUCACGCCCCCUUCGCCUCUUUCUGGUUAGAAAAAUUGAAAUUAUGUAAUUAACACUGAAUGACACUCGCCGCAACUUUCAAAAAGUACACAACACAAGCAGAUUGUCUAAGAGCGUGCUUCAUAGAAUCUGCACAUUGACACACUGCUGAGGACAAGCCAGGAGGGUGAGCUCUGUCGUCCCUGCAAAUAACACUUCAUCACCGUUAGGAGCUUGGCCCCUCCAGCAGAAGGACACUUCAUGAGAUGGACACUCGGCUUCUCUCAGCAAAGCCAGGCUUGUCUGUUUCCCCUGCAACCCUCGGAGGUGGGCAAGUGUCUUUAGAUAGGGGGAGCUUGGAAGUGAAAUUGACGGAGGGGCUGGAACCCCAGGAGAAGGAAAUAAAUGCUGAGUUCCCACUGCCUCCCGUUAACCUUGGCAAAGACCGAGCCACACUGGGCUCAUGCUCAGGCAUCCAUCCGCGUGACCUGAGGGUGGAUCAGGAGCAGGUCCAAGACCCGUCCAGUCCAGCUGAGCACUGUGGAGAUCCGCAUUGUGGAGACCGCCACCUGGGGUCCCCACCCCUAGGCGGAGGGACCACCCUGGCCACAGAGCUCUCAGGGACCUCUGCUUUCUCGGGCACCAGAGGCACCCAGGGACGGGGGCAGGGUCCUGCAGUCAGGGGCCACCUCUGGGACGCCUCUGAUGCCGUCUGGGGUGAUGCUGAGCCCUGGGGGCACGUGGCAGGUGAAGGCUCUUCAGGUCUUCUUUUAGAGGCCCCGCAACCUCUGGCCCGGUGUGUCAUCCCAGCCGGGUUGAGGCCCUACCGGAUUUUACAAAGUGCCACCUUCUGGGAAGACCAGCAGGGUGUGGCUCUGAUAAACUACUCUUUUCUAGGUUCCUGA